UACUGUCUAUCCAGAGUAGAGAGUAAAUCUUCAGAAAGACUGUGUCUCGAAUCUCCGACCAUGGAUGUAUUUGAGUCUUGUGGGGAAAAGUGUGCAAACCUGUGCAGAGUGUACAAACUAAUCAUGGUUAGUCGUGUCCCCAGUUAUGGACAUCUUGAGUAUCUGGUUCUUGGAUUAUCAUGUUGAUCUCAUCACUCUAAAUUAAU
This 206-nucleotide long non-coding RNA is filed under the name Hordeum vulgare. RNAcentral's name for it is "long non-coding RNA (HVUL_LNC010816)". Lineage: Eukaryota; Viridiplantae; Streptophyta; Magnoliopsida; Poales; Poaceae. The record is from RNAcentral.